CUCGCACAUAGCUGGGUCCAAAUCAACAUGCAAAGAAGCAUCCAAUGCAUAUCAUGCAUUUUAUCAUAUUGUGAUAACACAUAAACCAUUGUAUAACACAUUUUCAUAAUAUAAAAUCAUUUUACUAAAAGCUUGUUCCCAAGGUACAUUUUCUAAGACAAGUUGGAUAGAAUCUUUCAUAUUCCCCAAAACAAGUUUGAAAUGCAAGUCCACUCAUCGGUAUUAGGAGUAGAAAUACUCUUAUUUUCAGUCCGCGAGUACAGUCCUUUACCCGUAUCCAAUGGCUCACCACCUAGCCAUAAUCCAUGACACAUAUUCUAAUUAAAUUGUGUCUAACAGUCAUAAGCUAUUUCAGGCUCGAUAUAUAUAUGAUAUGAAAUGAAAAAUGUACGGGUAGCCAUCUAGAUCCACUAUUGGCCUAAGUCGAUUUUUCAUCCGAUAAAUUAGCCAAUGCAUCCAAUUUCACUCCAAAUUAAUCCAUUUCUCCUAUAAUACCUUAAUUUAGCACAUACCAUUUAAAUAAAGCCAAAUUCAGCAUUAGAACCCUCACAAUUCCUUAUAGAAAAAUUCGAUCAUUUGGUGCACUAGUACCGAAAAGUUUUUACAUAACCGUUUCACCUUAAUUCAUCAUUUUCCAAGCCAUUUUCCUUGAAAUAUAAACAAUCCCCCAUUGAUAUUCAGCCCUCAUGGUUCGACCAACAAGGAACCCUAGAGAAAUUGAAUAUUUCUUUUGUGUUUUUGUUCAUAACCAUGCUUAACUAUCCCUAAACACUAACAUAGUCUAAAAUCAAAUUAUUCCAACAACAAUUCCUCUUCCAUACCCAUUUUUCAGAAUUGAAUUCAUCAUGAUAACUCAAUAUUCAACCAUGAAAAUCAAGAACAAAAGCAUGGGUAAGCUAGGUAUCAAGGAGAAUUAAAGAAAUUCUAACUUACCUAACUNUAUCAAGGAGAAUUAAAGAAAUUCUAACUUACCUAGCUUGUUUCCUUGA
RNAcentral lists this long non-coding RNA (989 nucleotides) under Theobroma cacao (cacao). Its description in RNAcentral is "long non-coding RNA (TCAC_LNC004871)". Lineage: Eukaryota; Viridiplantae; Streptophyta; Magnoliopsida; Malvales; Malvaceae. The record is from RNAcentral.